Molecule: transfer RNA, 73 nt
Filed under: Caldifarciminota bacterium
Lineage: Bacteria; Pseudomonadati; Caldifarciminota
Description: candidate division WOR-3 bacterium (hot springs metagenome) tRNA-Ala
Rfam family: tRNA
About the family: Transfer RNA (tRNA) molecules are approximately 80 nucleotides in length. Their secondary structure includes four short double-helical elements and three loops (D, anti-codon, and T loops). Further hydrogen bonds mediate the characteristic L-shaped molecular structure. tRNAs have two regions of fundamental functional importance: the anti-codon, which is responsible for specific mRNA codon recognition, and the 3' end, to which the tRNAs corresponding amino acid is attached (by aminoacyl-tRNA synthetases). tRNAs cope with the degeneracy of the genetic code in two manners: having more than one tRNA (with a specific anti-codon) for a particular amino acid; and 'wobble' base-pairing, i.e. permitting non-standard base-pairing at the 3rd anti-codon position.
Source: RNAcentral
GGGGGUGUAGCUCAGCUGGGAGAGCAUCUGCUUUGCAAGCAGAAGGUCGGCGGUUCGAAUCCGCUCACCUCCA